RNAcentral lists this ribosomal RNA (505 nucleotides) under uncultured bacterium. RNAcentral's name for it is "partial 16S ribosomal RNA". It matches the Rfam family "Bacterial small subunit ribosomal RNA", at positions 28 to 507 of the family's 1533-position model. The record is from RNAcentral.
GACGAACGCUGGCGGCGUGCUUAAUACAUGCAAGUAGAACGCACAGGCUAUACCGUAGCUUGCUGCACCAUAGACUGUGAGUUGCGAACUGGUGAGUAAGGCGUAGGUAGCCUGCCGGGUAGCGGGUGGGAACUAGGGGAAAUGCCAGCUAAUACCGCAUGAUAUUGAUUAUUGCAUGAUAAUUUAUGGAAAGAUGCUAUUGCAUCACUACCAGAUGGACCUUCGUUGUAUUAGCUAGUAGGGGAGGUAACGGCUCACCUAGGCGAGGAUACAUAGCCGACCGGCGUGGGUGGUCGGCCGCCCUGGGACUGUGACCCGGCCCAGAGUGCUACGGGAGGCAGCAGGAGGGCAUCUGGGGCCAUGGGCGGAAGUCUGACCGCGCUACGCCGCGUGAGGGAAGAAGGUUUUCGGGUCGUGAAGCUCUGUUGUAAGAGAAGAACGGGUGUGAGAGUGGCAAGUUCACAAUGUGACGGUAUUUUAUCAGAAAGGGACGGCUAACUACGUG